This is a non-coding RNA of Paramuricea clavata, 679 nucleotides long. Lineage: Eukaryota; Metazoa; Cnidaria; Anthozoa; Malacalcyonacea; Plexauridae. The record is from the annotation of a GenBank genome assembly.
CCAGGCGCCUAAAAUCUUUUGUCUGUAAAACGAUGUCGAUUUCUUGGGAAAUUCCGAGGUUGCGCUUUUUUUGAUACACCCUGUAUUUCAAACUUUAAUACAUAAUCACGUUUCGCUGCAUCCCGCCAAGAUUAUUUCUUAAGACUGUUUCCAGGUAUUUUCCACAGGUCGCUAUUAUGCACCUUAUUAGCACACUUAGGUCGCUAUUAUGCACCUUAUUAGCACAUAUCCUUUAUGUAACCAAUCAAAUAAUUUGAGAUUUUUGGCUACGCAAAUUUUAUUACUGGAUAUAAGCUCGUUUACGCCCUUAGAUGCAGGUCAACUAAUACAAAAUGACUGAAAAACGGCAAACUUCGCAGGCCUAUAUUAUCCUCAUUUUACAACAUUUUGCAACGAAACUUCGGAAUAUUACUAAUUUUGUGAUGCUGUUUCAAGCUGUGAUGAAAUUUUUAGAUAUACUGCAUGUGGAGCUACUGUAAAUAUUGUUUUUCCCCUCUUUAAAAUAAAGUAUUAAUUAAGUAACUAAGUCUAAGGACUUGAACAAAGGCAGUAGAAUAAUGUGCCAAUGAGUAAAGUAAAAUGAAAAUACAGCGCAUCGCAGUUGGUUAUAAAUCUCCAAAGUAUAAAAGAAAACAUUGAAGCGGCGACAAUAUGGGUAAAUGUGAGCAAAAUAUUCCAC